AUACGGAGGGUGCAAGCGUUACUCGGAAGCACUGGGCGUAAAGUGCGCGCAGGCGGUCUUUUAAGUUGGAUGUGAAAGCCUACGGCUCAACCGUAGAACUGCAUCCAAAACUAUUAGACUAGAGUGUGGGAGAGGAAGAUGGAAUUAGUUGUGUAGGGGUAAAAUCCGUAGAGAUAACUAGGAAUACCAAAAGCGAAGGCAAUCUUCUGGAACACUACUGACGCUGAGGCGCGAAAGCGUGGGGAGCAAACAGGAUUAGAAACCCCAGUAGUCC
RNAcentral lists this ribosomal RNA (274 nucleotides) under uncultured bacterium. Its description in RNAcentral is "partial 16S ribosomal RNA". It matches the Rfam family "Bacterial small subunit ribosomal RNA", at positions 523 to 796 of the family's 1533-position model. The record is from RNAcentral.